This is a non-coding RNA of Pelobates cultripes (western spadefoot toad), 381 nucleotides long. The record is from the annotation of a GenBank genome assembly. Lineage: Eukaryota; Metazoa; Chordata; Amphibia; Anura; Pelobatidae.
CCCACAUCCACAUUCACCACCUAUCCCCAGAUAGCUUGGAUCUGAGCGCUCAAUAUGUCUAAACAGCGCUCAGAUCCCUUGAACAGAAUAAAAUCACCAUGGCGUUAAAGUUUAGCAAGGGCUGAUGAGAGAUUGAGGAGGGACAAAGCAGCCAGUUCCAUUUAAAAGGCCAGAACACUCUUUUAAACACCAAUAAGUCCAAAUAGUGUUUUUAACUGGCAAAGUCUCCCAGAGACCAUAAUCACAUGGCAGGAGGCUGCCAAUUAGUCCUCUCAAGGCACAAGUGGCGAAGGUACUUUCUAAUGCUAGAGAGGGAUUUUUCCUAAACCCUAUGCAUUUACUUAAUCUUGAGAAACCUUUGAUAGACUAUUUUCAGUGUUA